Thalassophryne amazonica is the source of this 131-nucleotide long non-coding RNA. RefSeq lists it as uncharacterized. NCBI's taxonomy places the organism in Eukaryota, Metazoa, Chordata, Actinopteri, Batrachoidiformes, Batrachoididae. The transcript is spliced from 5 exons. The record is from RefSeq and is a predicted model, not a curated record.
UGGGGUAACUAGGGAUCCAUCACUGCAUUGAAGAAUGUGGUGGCAGCAUCAUGCUGCGGGAAUGUUUGCCAGUGGCAGGAAUUGGGAGAUUAGUCAGGAUUGAGGGAAAGAUGAAUGCAGCAAUGUACAGA